Molecule: ribosomal RNA, 413 nt
Filed under: uncultured bacterium
Lineage: Bacteria
Description: bacterial SSU rRNA
Rfam family: Bacterial small subunit ribosomal RNA
Source: RNAcentral
AGAGUUUGAUCCUGGCUCAGAACGAACGCUGGCGGCAGGCCUAACACAUGCAAGUGGAACGCCCCGCAAGGGGAGUGGCAGACGGGUGAGUAACACGUGGGAACCUACCUAUUGGUACGGAAUAACUCGGGGAAACCCGUGCUAAUACCGUAUACGCCCGAGAGGGGAAAGAUUUAUCGCCGAUAGAUGGGCCCGCGUCGGAUUAGCUAGUUGGUGGGGUAAUGGCUCACCAAGGCGACGAUCCGUAGCUGGUCUGAGAGGAUGAUCAGCCACACUGGGACUGAGACACGGCCCAGACUCCUACGGGAGGCAGCAGUGGGGAAUAUUGGACAAUGGGGGCAACCCUGAUCCAGCCAUGCCGCGUGAGUGACGAAGGCCUUAGGGUUGUAAAGCUCUUUUGGCGGGGACGAUAA